Molecule: non-coding RNA, 97 nt
Organism: Coxiellaceae bacterium
Lineage: Bacteria; Pseudomonadati; Pseudomonadota; Gammaproteobacteria; Legionellales; Coxiellaceae
Source: Rfam
CGUCGGUCCCUCCGCAAUGAUACACUAUGAACCCCGCCAGGCCCGGAAGGGAGCAACGGUAGUAGUGGACUCAUGUGCCGGAGUGUGGCUGACGAGG